Molecule: ribosomal RNA, 1378 nt
Filed under: uncultured organism
Description: 16S ribosomal RNA
Rfam family: Bacterial small subunit ribosomal RNA
Source: RNAcentral
AGUGGCGCACGGGUGAGUAACGCGUGGGUAAUCUGCCCUCGAAUCUGGGAUAACCCCGCGAAAGCGGGGCUAAUACCGGAUGAAAUCCAGUUAGCUUUGGCUAUAUGGAUCAAAGGUGGCCUCUGCAUGCAAGCUACUGUUUGGGGAUGAGCCCGCGUACCAUUAGUUUGUUGGUGGGGUAAAGGCCCACCAAGGCGACGAUGGUUAGCUGGUCUGAGAGGAUGAUCAGCCCCACUGGAACUGGAACACGGUCCAGGCUCCUACGGGAGGCAGCAGUGAGGAAUUUUGCGCGAUGGGGGUAACCCUGACGCAGCAACGCCGCGUGAGUGAUGAAGGCCUUCGGGUCGUAAAGCUCUGUCGAGUGGGAAGAACUCAUUCCGGCACAACAAGCCGGGGUGCUGACGGUACCACUGAAGGGAGCACCGGCUAACUCCGUGCCACCAGCCGCGGUAAUACGGAGGGUGCGAGCGUUAUUCUGAAUUACUGGGCGUAAAGGGCGCGUAGGCGGCCGAUUAAGUCAGAUGUGAAAUCCCGGGGCUUACCCCCGGAAGUGCAUUUGAUACUGAACGGCUUGAGUAUGGGAGAGGGAAGUGGAAUUCCUGGUGUAGCGAUGAAAUGCGUAUAUAUCAGGGAGGAACACCGGUGGCGAAGGCGACUUCCUGGACCCAAUACUGACGCUGAGGCGCGAAGGCGUGGGGAGCAAACAGGAUUAGAUACCGUGGUAGUCCACGCAGUAAACGGUGAUCACUAGGUGUAGCGGGUAUUGACGCUCUGCUGUGCCGGAGUUAACGCAUUAAGUGAUCCGCAUGGGGAGUACGGCCGCAAGGUUAAAACUCAAAGGAAUUGACGGGGACCCGCACAAGCGGUGGAGCAUGUGGUUUAAUUCGACGCAACGCGAAGAACCUUACCUGGAUUUGACAUCUCGGGAAUCCCGCGGAAACGCGGGAGUGCCCUUCGGGGAGCCCGAAGACAGGUGCUGCAUGGCUGUCGUCAGCUUGUGUCGUGAGAUGUUGGGUUAAGUCCCGCAACGAGCGCAACCCCUAUCUUCAGUUACCAGCGAGUAAAGUCGGGGACUCGGGAGAUACUGCCCCGGUCAACGGGGAGGAAGGUGGGGAUGACGUCAAGUCCUCAUGGCCUUUAUGUCCAGGGCUACACACGUGCUACAAUGGGCUGUACAGAGGGAAGCGAUCUCGCGAGGGUGAGCCAAUCCCAAAAAGCAGUCCUCAGUUCGGAUUGGAGUCUGCAACUCGACUCCAUGAAGCUGGAAUCGCUAGUAAUCGCGGAUCAGCAUGCCGCGGUGAAUACGUUCCCGGGCCUUGUACACACCGCCCGUCACACCAUGAGAGUUGGCUGUACCAGAAGUCGUCGGGCCAACCGC